This 803-nucleotide ribosomal RNA is filed under the name Xylariaceae sp. 799_1_CP04. RNAcentral's name for it is "eukaryotic LSU rRNA". It matches the Rfam family "Eukaryotic large subunit ribosomal RNA", at positions 95 to 925 of the family's 3401-position model. Lineage: Eukaryota; Fungi; Ascomycota; Sordariomycetes; Xylariales; Xylariaceae. The record is from RNAcentral.
GAAGCGGCAACAGCUCAAAUUUGAAAUCUGGCCUUCUGGUCCGAAUUGUAAUUUGUAGAGGAUGCUUUUGGUUAGGUACCUUUCGAGUUCCUUGGAACAGGACGCCUUAGAGGGUGAGAGCCCCGUACGAUUGGAUACCGAGCCUCUGUAAAGCUCCUUCGACGAGUCGAGUAGUUUGGGAAUGCUGCUCUAAAUGGGAGGUAAAUUUCUUCUAAAGCUAAAUACCGGCCAGAGACCGAUAGCGCACAAGUAGAGUGAUCGAAAGAUGAAAAGCACUUUGAAAAGAGGGUUAAAUAGUACGUGAAAUUGUUGAAAGGGAAGGGCUUAUGACCAGACCUUUGCCUUGCGGAUCAUCCGGUGUUCUCACCGGUGCACUUCGCUUGGUUUAGGCCAGCAUCGAUUUUGGUAGGGGGAUAAAGACUUUGGUAACGUAGCUCCUCCGGGAGUGUUAUAGACCUUUGUGUAAUACCUUUACUGGGAUCGAGGACCGCGCUUCGGCUAGGAUGCUGGCAUAAUGGUCAUCAGCCACCCGUCUUGAAACACGGACCAAGGAGUCGAACAUUUAUGCGAGUGUUUGGGUGUUAAACCCUCACGCGUAAUGAAAGUGAACGGAGGUGAGAGCCCUUUAGGGUGCAUCAUCGACCGAUCCUGAUGUCUUCGGAUGGAUUUGAGUAAGAGCAUAACUGUUCGGACCCGAAAGAUGGUGAACUAUGCGUGGAUAGGGUGAAGCCAGAGGAAACUCUGGUGGAGGCUCGCAGCGGUUCUGACGUGCAAAUCGAUCGUCAAAUCUGCGCAUGGGGGCG